GAUGAACGCUGGCGGCGUGCCUAAUACAUGCAAGUCGAGCGAACGGACGAGAAGCUUGCUUUUCUGAUGUUAGCGGCGGACGGGUGAGUAACACGUGGAUAACCUACCUAUAAGACUGGGAUAACUUCGGGAAACCGGAGCUAAUACCGGAUAAUAUUUUGAACCGCAUGGUUCAAAAGUGAAAGACGGUCUUGCUGUCACUUAUAGAUGGAUCCGCGCUGCAUUAGCUAGUUGGUAAGGUAAAGGCUUACCAAGGCAACGAUGCAUAGCCGACCUGAGAGGGUGAUCGGCCACACUGGAACUGAGACACGGUCCAGACUCCUACGGGAGGCAGCAGUAGGGAAUCUUCGGCAAUGGGCGAAAGCCUGACGGAGCAACGCCGCGUGAGUGAUGAAGGUCUUCGGAUCGUAAAACUCUGUUAGUAGGGAAGAACAGAUGUGUAAGUAACUGUGCACAUCUUGACGGUACCUAAUCAGAAAGCAACGGCUAACUACGUG
This 497-nucleotide ribosomal RNA is filed under the name uncultured bacterium. RNAcentral describes it as "partial 16S ribosomal RNA". It matches the Rfam family "Bacterial small subunit ribosomal RNA", at positions 28 to 507 of the family's 1533-position model. The record is from RNAcentral.